Molecule: small nucleolar RNA, 126 nt
Organism: Ictidomys tridecemlineatus (thirteen-lined ground squirrel)
Lineage: Eukaryota; Metazoa; Chordata; Mammalia; Rodentia; Sciuridae
Source: Ensembl
GGAUUUGGAUUUAUGGUAGGCCUAUCCCCCUAUACCUCUAAUAGUGUCCAUUCCAGAGCAAGCUGGCCCAGAACUACUUUUCACCUCUGCCCUUAGACUGAUGGCACUGAGCUAGGUAAAAAAAUA